GAAAUGCGAUAAGUAAUGUGAAUUGCAGAAUUCAGUGAAUCAUCGAAUCUUUGAACGCACCUUGCGCUCCUUGGUAUUCCUUGGAGCAUGCCUGUUUGAGUAUCAAGAAAUCUUCAAAGUAAAUCUUUUGUUAACUCAAUUGGUUUCUACUUUGGUAUUGGAGGUCUUUGCAGCUUCACACCUGCUCCUCUUUGUUCAUUAGCUGGAUCUCAGUGUUAUGCUUGGUUCCACUCGGCGUGAUAGGUUAUCUAUCGCUGAGGACACUGUAAAAGGUGGCCAAGGUAAAUGCAGAUGAACCGCUUCUAAUAGUCCAUUGACUUGGACAAUACUUUUAUGAUCUGAUCUCAAAUCAGGUAGGACUACCCGCUGAACUUAAGC
This 378-nucleotide unclassified non-coding RNA is filed under the name plant metagenome. RNAcentral's name for it is "partial contains 5.8S ribosomal RNA, internal transcribed spacer 2, and large subunit ribosomal RNA". The stretch from base 1 to 105 matches the Rfam family "5.8S ribosomal RNA", at positions 50 to 154 of the family's 154-position model. The record is from RNAcentral.